This 363-nucleotide ribosomal RNA is filed under the name Penaeus vannamei (Pacific white shrimp). RNAcentral's name for it is "partial 16S ribosomal RNA". It matches the Rfam family "Bacterial large subunit ribosomal RNA", at positions 1957 to 2519 of the family's 2925-position model. Lineage: Eukaryota; Metazoa; Arthropoda; Malacostraca; Decapoda; Penaeidae. The record is from RNAcentral.
UAGCAUAAUCAUUAGUCUUUUAAUUGGAGGCUCGUAUGAAUGGUUGGACAAAAAGCAAACUGUCUCAAUUAUAUUUAUUGAAUUUAACUUUUAAGUGAAAAGGCUUAAAUAAAUUAAGGGGACGAUAAGACCCUAUAAAGCUUUACAAUAAGUUACCUAUAUUAUAAAUUGUUAGUAUAACUUGAGUUUAGGUAACGUUUGUUGCGUUGGGGCGACGAGAAUAUAAUAAGUAACUGUUCUUAAGUUAUUUAAUGACAGAAAUUUCUGGAAAAUUAAUGAUCCUCUACUAGAGAUCAUAAGAUUAAGUUACUUUAGGGAUAACAGCGUAAUCUUCUUUGAGAGUCCACAUCGACAGGAAGGGUU